AAAUUUUGGGGUGUUACAGCUGCCCCUAUUCAAUCAUCAGCUAACCCGAGUAGGAUGAAAGCGAACAGCUUAUCAGACAAACGGGGUGAGCUGUGAUUGAAUACCAAAGACAGACCGAAAAUUUGCGCUCCGAGAACACCACAAAAACGUGGAAAUACACCGCGCUGUUUAUUUUUCUUCCGAUCCUCUGGCUGGAUCUGAAUCAGUCUUCUGGCUUAAUCUGGAGU
Molecule: long non-coding RNA, 227 nt
Filed under: Lathyrus oleraceus (garden pea)
Lineage: Eukaryota; Viridiplantae; Streptophyta; Magnoliopsida; Fabales; Fabaceae
Description: Pisum sativum (pea) long non-coding RNA (PSAT_LNC029131)
Source: RNAcentral